AUUGAACGCUGGCGGCAGGCUUAACACAUGCAAGUCGAGCGAGCGGCGGACGGGUGAGUAAUGUCUGGGACACUGCCUGAUGGAGGGGGAUAACUACUGGAAACGGUAGCUAAUACCGCAUACCAUCGGAUGUGCCCAGCUGGGAUUAGCUAGUAGGUGGGGUAAUGGCUCACCUAGGCGACGAUCCCUAGCUGGUCUGAGAGGAUGACAAGCCACACGGGAACUGAGACACGGUCAAGACUCCUACGGGAGGCAGCAGUGGGGAAUAGUGCACAAUGGGCGCAAGCCUGAUGCAGCCAUGCCGCGUGUGUGAAGAAGGCCUUCGGGUUGUAAAGUACUUUCAGCGAGGAGGCGUUACUCGCAGAAGAAGCACCGGCUAACUCCGUGCCAGCAGCCGCGGUAAUAC
This 406-nucleotide ribosomal RNA is filed under the name uncultured bacterium. RNAcentral describes it as "partial 16S ribosomal RNA". It matches the Rfam family "Bacterial small subunit ribosomal RNA", at positions 30 to 526 of the family's 1533-position model. The record is from RNAcentral.